AUGAACGCUGGCGGCGUGCCUUAUACAUGCAAGUCGAGCGAACAGACGAGGAGCUUGCUCCUCUGACGUUAGCGGCGGACGGGUGAGUAACACGUGGAUAACCUACCUAUAAGACUGGGAUAACUUCGGGAAACCGGAGCUAAUACCGGAUAAUAUAUUGAACCGCAUGGUUCCAUAGUGAAAAACGGUUUUGCUGUCACUUAUAGAUGGAUCCGCGCCGCAUUAGCUAGUUGGUAAGGUAACGGCUUACCAAGGCGACGAUGCGUAGCCGACCUGAGAGGGUGAUCGGCCACACUGGAACUGAGACACGGUCCAGACUCCUACGGGAGGCAGCAGUAGGGAAUCUUCCGCAAUGGGCGAAAGCCUGACGGAGCAACGCCGCGUGAGUGAUGAAGGUCUUCGGAUCGUAAAACUCUGUUAUUAGGGAAGAACAAAUGUGUAAGUAACUAUGCACGUCUUGACGGUACCUAAUCAGAAAGCCACGGCUAACUACGUG
This 496-nucleotide ribosomal RNA is filed under the name uncultured bacterium. RNAcentral describes it as "partial 16S ribosomal RNA". It matches the Rfam family "Bacterial small subunit ribosomal RNA", at positions 29 to 507 of the family's 1533-position model. The record is from RNAcentral.